AUUAAAGGAAAUAAGAGCGCACAGUGGAUGCCUAGGCACCAAGAGCUGAUGAAGGACGCAAUUAACGGCGAUACGCUACGGGGAGCUGUAAAUAAGUGUAGAUCCGUGGAUUUCCGAAUGGGGCAACCUACUAUAAGAAGUUAUAGUAUCAAUUGUUAGGCAACUAACUGAUUGAAAGGAACGCAGUGAACUGAAAUAUCUAAGUAACUGCAGGAACAGAAAGUAAUAACGAUUCCGGUAGUAGUGACGAGCGAAUCCGGAACAGCCGGAUACCAAUAACUAGUUACCAAAUUUUAAUUAACUCGAAAUAGUUGGAAAGCUAUAUCCCAGAAGGUGAAAAUCCUGUAGAGGUAAGUUAAAAUCUAGGGUAUCCUCAAGUACGGCGAGACACGAGAAAUCUUGUUGGAAGAUAGGAGGACCAUCUCCUAAGGCUAAAUACUCCUUGGUGACCGAUAGUGAACUAGUACCGUGAGGGAAAGGUGAAAAGAACCCCGGAAGGGGAGUGAAAUAGAUCCUGAAACUGUGUGCUUACAAGUAGUCAAAGCUCGUUUAAGAGUGAUGGCGUGCCUUUUGCAGAAUGAACCGGCGAGUUAUGAUAUAGAGCAAGGUUAAGUUUGAAGGAACGUAGCCGUAGCGAAAGCGAGUCUGAAUAGGGCGUUUAGUUGUAUGUCAUAGACCCGAAACUGAAGUGAGCUAGCCAUGAACAGGCUGAAGUGACGUGACCACGUCAUGGAGGGCCGAACCAGGACACGUUGAAAAGUGUUUGGAUGAUUUGUGGCUAGAGGUGAAAUUCCAAUCGAACUCAGAGAUAGCUGGUUCUCCCCGAAAUAGCUUUAGGGCUAGCGUUGGGUAUUUAAUAGUUCUUGAAGGUAGAGCACUAAAUGAGUGCGGGCUCCACCUCGGGGUACCAAUCUCAAUUAAACUCCGAAUGUCAAGAACCGUAUCCCAGCAGUCAGACGAUGGGUGAUAAGGUCCAUGGUCAAAAGGGAAAGAGCCCAGACCGUCAGCUAAGGUCCCUAAAUUAAUGUUAAGUGGUUAAGGAAGUAAAAACGUUAAAACAAUUAGGAAGUUGGCUUAGAAGCAGCCAUCUUUUAAAGAGUGCGUAAUAGCUCACUAAUCUAAUAUUUUUGCACCGAAAAUGUAACGGGGCUAAACAUUAUACCGAAGCUACGGAUAUGUUCCGGCUAGUAAUAGCUAAGGAACAUGUGGUAGGGGAAGCGUUCUAACAUCGUAGAAGCUAUAGCGGAAGCAGUAGUGGAGAGGUUAGAAGUGAGAAUGCCGGUGUAAGUAACGAAAAGAUAGAUGAGAAUUCUAUCCGUCGAAAACCCAAGGUUUCCAGGGGCAGGGUCGUCCGCCCUGGGUUAGUCAGGAACUAAGGCGAGGCAGCAAUGCGUAGUCGAUGACCAGCAGGCUAAAAUUCCUGCACUAAAAAAAUCACUGAUGGAGGGACAAAAGAGGAUAAGCACGCCCUUUAUUGGAUUAGGGUCGAAAAAUCGAGUUUGAGAAGAUAGGCAAAUCCGUCUUCUUACUUGCCAAAAAAUGAGAUUUGAGGGUAACGUGACUGUGUUCAUAUUUUCUAGAAAAGCUUCUAGGGUUAAUGAUUUUUUUACCUGUACCGUAAACCGACACAGGUGGGAAGGUAGAGUAUACUAAGACGCGCGAGAAAACUCUUGUUAAGGAACUCGGCAAAAUGACUCCGUAACUUCGGGAUAAGGAGAGCUUUUAUGAUAAAAAGUAAAAGCCGCAGAGAAUAGGCCCAAGCGACUGUUUAUCAAAAACACAGGUCUCUGCUAAACCGUAAGGUGAUGUAUAGGGGCUGAUGCCUGCCCGGUGCUGGAAGAUUAAGAGGAGAUGUUCGGGCUUGCCUAANNNNNNNNNNNNNNNNNNNNNNNNNNNNNNNNNNNNNNNNNNNNNNNNNNNNNNNNNNNNNNNNNNNNNNNNNNNNNNNNNNNNNNNNNNNNNNNCUAAAGCAUUGAAUUGAAGUCCCAGUGAACGGCGGCCGUAACUAUAACGGUCCUAAGGUAGCGAAAUUCCUUGUCGGGUAAAUUCCGACCUGCACGAAAGGCAUAACGAUUUGGGCGCUGUCUCAACAAGAGUCUCGGUGAAAUCAAAUUACCGGUGAAAAUGCCGGUUACCCGCGACAGGACGAAAAGACCCCAUGGAGCUUUACUGUAGCUUAAUAUUGGAAUUGGAAAUCUCAUGUACAGGAUAGGUGGGAGACAGAGAACUUUAGACGCUAGUUUAAAGGGAGUCACCGGUGGGAUACCACUCUUGAGAUUUUUAGUUUCUAACCUGCAUAAGUGGAUUAUGAGGGACAGUGUUUGGUGGGCAGUUUGACUGGGGCGGUCGCCUCCUAAAAAGUAACGGAGGCGUUCAAAGGUUCCCUCAAAAUGGUCAGAAAUCAUUUUUAGAGCGUAAAGGUAUAAGGGAGCUUGACUGUGAGACCUACAAGUCGAGCAGGGACGAAAGUCGGACUUAGUGAUCUUGCGGUACCGAAUGGAAGGGCCGUGACUCAACGGAUAAAAGCUACCCUGGGGAUAACAGCCUUAUCGCCCCCGAGCGUUCACAGCGACGGGGCGGUUUGGGACCUCGAUGUCGGCUCAUCGCAUCCUGGAGCUGGAGCAGGUUCCAAGGGUUGGGCUGUUCGCCCAUUAAAGCGGUACGCGAGCUGGGUUCAGAACGUCGUGAGACAGUUCGGUCUCUAUCCGUCGUGGGCGUUGGAAAUUUGCGAGGAACUGUCCCUAGUAUGAGAAGACCGGGAUGGAUAUACCGCUGGUGCACCAGUUGGUUCGCCAGAGCCAUAGCUGGGUAGCUAUGUAUAGUAUGGAUAAACACUGAAAGCAUCUAAGUGUGAAGCCUCCCUCAAGAUGAGAUUUCCCUAAGAGAUCCCUGAAAGACGAUCAGGUUGAUAGGCUAGAAGUGGAAGAGUAGUGAUAUUUGGAGCUGACUAGUACUAAUAGAUCCAACGACUUUGAUGA
Molecule: ribosomal RNA, 2978 nt
Filed under: Candidatus Phytoplasma australasiaticum subsp. australasiaticum
Lineage: Bacteria; Bacillati; Mycoplasmatota; Mollicutes; Acholeplasmatales; Acholeplasmataceae
Description: 23S ribosomal RNA
Rfam family: Bacterial large subunit ribosomal RNA
Source: RNAcentral